RNAcentral lists this ribosomal RNA (791 nucleotides) under Typhula ishikariensis. RNAcentral describes it as "eukaryotic LSU rRNA". The record is from RNAcentral. Lineage: Eukaryota; Fungi; Basidiomycota; Agaricomycetes; Agaricales; Typhulaceae.
UCCGUAGGUGAACCUGCGGAAGGAUCAUUAUCGAAUUUAAAGCUUGGUUGAGCUGUCGCUUCGGCGUACGUGCUCGCCUCGCCGUCCAUUCUUCAACACCUGUGCACACUUCAAAGUAAUCGUUCUGUCCCAUCCCGCUUGUACGGGGGAGUUGUGAAAAAGGGAUCAUUAAUUUGGUUUCUCUUUUUAUAGCUUUCCAAAGAGAGGGUAAGACGUUAMAAGAACGAUCUUUGCCUUAUAACAUACCCUUCUUUUAAAAAUGUUUAUGAACGUCAAAAAAAAUGUAGGCUCGCCUUAAAAACGUGUAGCUGAAAUUAUAAAAUUAUACAACUUUUAACAACGGAUCUCUUGGCUCUCGCAUCGAUGAAGAACGCAGCGAAAUGCGAUAAGUAAUGUGAAUUGCAGAAUUCAGUGAAUCAUCGAAUCUUUGAACGCACCUUGCGCUCCCUGGUAUUCCGGGGAGCAUGCCUGUUUGAGUGUCAUUAAAUUCUCAACUUCGAAUCGUUUGUUUACAGACUUUACGAGGCUUGGACUUUGGAGUGUGCCGGUCUCUAACGAGAUCGACUCCUCUUUAAAUGCAUUAGCUGGAACCUCUUGUGGACCAGACUACGGUGUGAUAAUUAUCUACGCUGUUGGUCUUGUGAAGCACUUUAUUGUUACGAGGUUCUGCUUCUAAUCGUCCUUUACUGYGACAAUGAGGGUUUUAUUCUUAAUUGAAUUGGCCUUUGACAUUUUGACCUCAAAUCAGGUAGGACUACCCGCUGAACUUAAGCAUAUCAAUAAGCGGAGGA